RNAcentral lists this ribosomal RNA (253 nucleotides) under uncultured bacterium. Its description in RNAcentral is "partial 16S ribosomal RNA". It matches the Rfam family "Bacterial small subunit ribosomal RNA", at positions 524 to 776 of the family's 1533-position model. The record is from RNAcentral.
UACGUAGGGGGCAAGCGUUGUUCGGAAUUACUGGGCGUAAAGGGCGCGUAGGCGGCACGGCAAGUCGGGAGUGAAAGCCCGGGGCUCAACCCCGGAACGUCUUUCGAAACUGCCGAGCUAGAGUGCGGAAGGGGCAACUGGAAUUCCCAGUGUAGCGGUGAAAUGCGUAGAUAUUGGGAAGAACACCCGUUGCGAAGGCGGCCGACUGGACCCAUAUUGACGCUGAGGCUCGAAAGCGUGGGGAGCAAACAGG